Molecule: ribosomal RNA, 222 nt
Filed under: uncultured bacterium
Lineage: Bacteria
Description: partial 16S ribosomal RNA
Rfam family: Bacterial small subunit ribosomal RNA
Source: RNAcentral
UGAGCAAUCUGCCCUUCACAUCGGAAUAACCAUUGGAAACGAUGGCUAAUACCGAAUAUGACUUCGGAUCGCAUGAUCUGAAGUGGAAAGCUCCGGCGAUGAAGGAUGAACUCGCGGCCUAUCAGCUUGUUGGUGAGGUAAUAGCUCACCAAGGCGACGACGGGUAGCCGGCCUGAGGAGGGUGACCGGCCACACUGGGACUGAGACACGGCCCAGACUCCG